GUCACUGACGCGCGAGCGAGGAAGGUCGCGUGCCGGCCGGAAAGGGCUGGGCCCGGCCGUCCCCCCGCGGCGCGUGCGCGGGAGGGCCGCUUCCGGUCGGGCGGGCGUCGUGAGGGGUUGAUGGUGGCGGGUGCGGCCUGGGCGGGCCGCCGGGAAAGGGGCGGCUUCCCAGCGCCGUGCCUCUGGUGGGGGAGCGGAAGGCUUGGUCCUGGGGGCCGCAGCCGCGCUGUGGACGGUUGUCCUGAGCGUUGGGUGACGUCCCCUGGCGGGAUUGGUGUGCUUGCACCAGCCUUUGAAAGGUUUCCGAGCGCAGCUCAGCUGGCUGGUGAGGAGUGCCAGCCAGAACUGUCCGGGACUGUGGAAUUUGCUCAAGAAACAGUAGAAGACUGAAGGAAAAUGUGAAGCUGCCUCACCAGGAGGAGGAUUGUCAGUAGACGGAAAGCUGGGUUUAGCGGGUGCAGCGUUUAGGUUCUCCUCUGGUUGUUCCCUAAUUCUAGUGUACUUCAUUGCUGUGCUUUGCGUUAAAACAUUAAAAUUUUGUAGAUAGAGUAGUA
This is a long non-coding RNA of Chroicocephalus ridibundus (black-headed gull), 554 nucleotides long. RefSeq lists it as uncharacterized. The record is from RefSeq and is a predicted model, not a curated record. Lineage: Eukaryota; Metazoa; Chordata; Aves; Charadriiformes; Laridae. The transcript is spliced from 2 exons.